AACGAACGCUGGCGGCAGGCCUAACACAUGCAAGUCGAGCGCGCCCUUCGGGGUGAGCGGCGGACGGGUGAGUAACGCGUGGGAACGUGCCCUUCUCUGCGGAAUAGCCUCGGGAAACUGAGAGUCAUACCGCAUACGCCCUUUGGGGGUAAGAUGUAUCGGAGAAGGAUCGGCCCGCGUUGGAUUAGGUAGUUGGUGGGGUAAUGGCCCACCAAGCCGACGAUCCAUAGCUGGUUUGAGAGGAUGAUCAGCCACACUGGGACUGAGACACGGCCCAGCCUCCUACGGGAGGCAGCAGUGGGGAAUCUUAGACAAUGGGGGCAACCCUGAUCUAGCCAUGCCGCGUGAGUGAUGAAGGCCUUAGGGUUGUAAAGCUCUUUCAGCUGGGAAGAUAAUGACGGUACCAGCAGAAGAAGCCCCGGCUAACUCCGUG
RNAcentral lists this ribosomal RNA (433 nucleotides) under uncultured bacterium. RNAcentral's name for it is "partial 16S ribosomal RNA". It matches the Rfam family "Bacterial small subunit ribosomal RNA", at positions 29 to 507 of the family's 1533-position model. The record is from RNAcentral.